RNAcentral lists this ribosomal RNA (200 nucleotides) under uncultured bacterium. Its description in RNAcentral is "partial 16S ribosomal RNA". It matches the Rfam family "Bacterial small subunit ribosomal RNA", at positions 524 to 724 of the family's 1533-position model. The record is from RNAcentral.
UACAGAGGGUGCAAGCGUUAAUCGGAAUUACUGGGCGUAAAGCGCGCGUAGGUGGUUUGUUAAGUUGAAUGUGAAAUCCCCGGGCUCAACCUGGGAACUGCAUGCAAAACUGGCAAGCUAGAGUAUGGUAGAGGGUGGUGGAAUUCCUGUGUAGCGGUGAAAUGCGUAGAUAUAGGAAGGAACACCGGUGGCGAAGGCGG